ACGGGGGGUGCAAGCGUUGUUCGGAAUCAUUGGGCGUAAAGAGCGUGUAGGCGGCUGGAUAAGUCAGAUGUGAAAGCCCCGGGCUUAACCCAGGAAGUGCAUUUGAAACUGUCUGGCUUGAGUAGGGGAGAGGGAAGUGGAAUUCCUGGUGUAGAGGUGAAAUUCGUAGAUAUCAGGAGGAACACCGGUGGCGAAGGCGACUUCCUGGCCCUAUACUGACGCUGAGACGCGAAAGCGUGGGUAGCAAACAG
This 251-nucleotide ribosomal RNA is filed under the name uncultured prokaryote. RNAcentral describes it as "partial 16S rRNA". It matches the Rfam family "Bacterial small subunit ribosomal RNA", at positions 525 to 775 of the family's 1533-position model. The record is from RNAcentral.